Molecule: transfer RNA, 71 nt
Filed under: Dipodomys ordii (Ord's kangaroo rat)
Lineage: Eukaryota; Metazoa; Chordata; Mammalia; Rodentia; Heteromyidae
Rfam family: tRNA
About the family: Transfer RNA (tRNA) molecules are approximately 80 nucleotides in length.
Source: Rfam by way of RNAcentral
GGGAAUGUGGCUCAGUGGUAAGAGUGCUUGCCUGGCAGGCAUGAAGCCCUGGGUUCGAUUCCUCAGUACCA